This is a long non-coding RNA of Oncorhynchus tshawytscha (Chinook salmon), 106 nucleotides long. RefSeq lists it as uncharacterized. The transcript has 3 exons. The record is from RefSeq and is a predicted model, not a curated record. Lineage: Eukaryota; Metazoa; Chordata; Actinopteri; Salmoniformes; Salmonidae.
UCCUACUGGAGACCGUAACCACCUAAGGUAGUGUAGAUCCUACUGGAGACCGUAACCACCUAAGGUAGUGUAGAUCCUACUGGAGACCGUAACCACCUAAGGUAGU